UAGGUGGCAAGCGUUGUCCGGAUUUACUGGGUGUAAAGGGCGAGUAGGCGGGCAAACAAGUCAGAUGUGAAAUCCCGGGGCUUAACCCCGGAACUGCAUUUGAAACUGUAGGUCUUGAGUGAUGGAGAGGCAGGCGGAAUUCCCGGUGUAGCGGUGGAAUGCGUAGAUAUCGGGAGGAACACCAGUGGCGAAGGCGGCCUGCUGGACAUUAACUGACGCUGAGGAGCGAAAGCGUGGGGAGCAAA
Molecule: ribosomal RNA, 245 nt
Filed under: uncultured bacterium
Lineage: Bacteria
Description: partial 16S ribosomal RNA
Rfam family: Bacterial small subunit ribosomal RNA
Source: RNAcentral